RNAcentral lists this ribosomal RNA (589 nucleotides) under Scenedesmus acunae. Its description in RNAcentral is "SSU rRNA". It matches the Rfam family "Eukaryotic small subunit ribosomal RNA", at positions 107 to 693 of the family's 1831-position model. The record is from RNAcentral. Lineage: Eukaryota; Viridiplantae; Chlorophyta; Chlorophyceae; Sphaeropleales; Scenedesmaceae.
CAUUUAUAUUUUGUUUGAUGGUCCCUGCUACUCGGAUAACCGGAUUAAUUCUAAAGCUAAUACUGUGCAACAAACCCCAACUUCUGGAAGGGAUGCAUUUAUUAGAUAAAAGGUCGACCCGGCCUCGCCCCCUUGCCGCUAUGAAUCAUUAUAACUCCACGGAGUCCCACGGGCCUCCGGCCGGCGACCCAUCCUUCUUAUUUCUCCCCUUUCAAUUUUUGGUGGUAGGAAAGUGGCCUACGCUGGUGGUGACGGGGGGAGGAGAAUUAAGGUUCGAUUCCGAAAAAGGAACCCGGAAAACGGCUACCACGUCCGAAGAAGGCACGCGGGUCACCAAUUCCCCAAUCCUGGAGGGGGGAAGUAUUGACAAUGAAUAACGAUACCGGGCUCUACGAGUCUGGGAAUUAGAAUGAGUACAAUCCAAAUCCCUUAACCAAGAUCCAUUGGAGGGCAAAUCUGGUGCCCGCAGCCGUUGUAAUUCCAACUCCCAUAACGUAUAUUUUAGUUGUUGCAAUUAAAAAACUUGUAAUUUGACUUUGGGUUGGGGCGGGCCGUCCGCCUGCGGUGUGCACCGGUCGGCUCGUUCCUU